CCUACGGUAGGCAGCAGUGGGGAAUAUUGCACAAUGGGGGAAACCCUGAUGCAGCAACGCCGCGUGAAGGAAGACGGUUUUCGGAUUGUAAACUUCUGUUCUUAGUGAAGAAUCAUGACGGUAGCUAAGGAGCAAACCACAGAUAACAACGUGCCAGCAGCGGCGGUAAUACGUAGGUGGCAAGCGUUGUCCGGAAUUACUGGGUGUAAAGGGAGCGCAGGCGGGAAGCCAAGUCAGCUGUGAAAACUACGGGCUUAACUUGUAGACUGCAAUGGAAACUGGUUUUCUUGAGUGAAGUAGAGGCUGGCGGAAGUCCGAGUGUAGCGGUGAAAUGCGUAGAUAUACGGAGGAACACCGGUGGCGAAGGCGGACAACUGGGCUUUAACUGACGCUGAGGCGCGAAAGUGUGGGGAGCAAACAGGAUUAGAUACCCGAGUAGUC
This 441-nucleotide ribosomal RNA is filed under the name uncultured bacterium. RNAcentral's name for it is "partial 16S ribosomal RNA". It matches the Rfam family "Bacterial small subunit ribosomal RNA", at positions 338 to 795 of the family's 1533-position model. The record is from RNAcentral.